Paramuricea clavata is the source of this 495-nucleotide non-coding RNA. The record is from the annotation of a GenBank genome assembly. Lineage: Eukaryota; Metazoa; Cnidaria; Anthozoa; Malacalcyonacea; Plexauridae.
GGCCGAAAGAGCGAAGAUAAAAACAUAAACAAAAUAGAAAAAUAUUGAAAAUAACAGAAAAGCAAAGUCUGUGAAUUCAGACCUUGUGUAUAUAAUAAAACAGUUAUUCCACUCACUCUCGUCGAAUAUGAGCGAUAGCCGAUUCGGCGCCUCAUCGGCUAUCAGCUCAUAUUCGACUCGAGUGCGUAGAAUAACUGUUAAUUAUUCUGGUGAUUUCGUUUUUCAACUUUACGAUCGUGGCAAUGGAAGUGUCCUUAAAUAUUCGUACUCGCACGAACUAAUUCUUUUGACGACUUCUUCGAAAAAUGAAAACUUGACAAUUUCCCGUAUAACUAAUAAAUUUCCUGUAUGAAUGCACCAAUCACCUUCAGGUUUGGUGGAAUUGACCAAUCAUAAAGAGGCAAGGCAAGAAGUGACCGUAAUUGACCCACAAGAUUUACAUGAAAAUAAUCUUUUCUCCGGUGCCGUCCGUCCGUCCGUAUCCGCGUAUUAUCC